RNAcentral lists this long non-coding RNA (312 nucleotides) under Manihot esculenta (cassava). Its description in RNAcentral is "long non-coding RNA (MESC_LNC002778)". Lineage: Eukaryota; Viridiplantae; Streptophyta; Magnoliopsida; Malpighiales; Euphorbiaceae. The record is from RNAcentral.
UGAAAACACAAUAGUAAAGUUCAUGCAUAUAAAAUGCCUUUUGAUUGAACAAAACAAACACCACCACCACCAAUAUGUUACAUCGCAUGAUCCAACAGGUUCGCUUAAAAUGUACUAUAGUGAAUGCAUUGCUUCAUCCAAACUACAGGUUUCCAAUGCAUCAUCCAAACUACAGGUUUCCACAAGAAUUGACAUAUAGAACUUCCAUCAGGAUGGGAUUAAGGUAUAUCUCAGUUACUACCACCACCGAAGAGGUAUCCCAGAGAAGAUCCACCACCAGGAGCAGCAUGGACUUUGGUUGAAGGUCGAUCC